CGGUAAUUCCAGCUCCAAUAGCGUAUACUAAAGUUGUUGCAGUUAAAAAGCUCGUAGUUGGAUUUCUGCGGGGACGGAGCGGCCGGACGCAACUUGCGUCUCGAGCUAGCGCUUUCCCCGCAUCCUGCCGCGAACCGUGCUACCAUUAGCUUGGUGGCGCUGGGGAUCGGCUCGAUUACUUUGAGAAAAAUAGAGUGUUCAAAGCAGGCCACACGCCUUGAAUAAGUUAGCAUGGAAUAAUGACUAAGGACUUCGGUUCUAUUUUGUUGGUGUUCGGGACUGAAGUAAUGAUUGAUAGGGACAGUUGGGGCGGUCUGUAUUCCAAAGCGAGAGGUGAAAUUCUUAGACCUUCGGAAGACAAACAGCUGCGAAAGCGUUCCGCAAGGAUGUUCCCUUUGAUCAAGAACGAAAGUUGGGGGAUCGAAAACGAUCAGAUACCGUCGUAGUCUCAACUAUAAACUAUACCAGCUAGGGAUCGGUCAACGUUUAAUCAUUCGACUUGAUCGGCACCUUAUGAGAAAUCAAAGCAUCUGGGUUCCGGGGGGAGUAUGGUCGCAAGGCUGAAACUUAAAGGAAUUGACGGAAGGGCACCACCAGCCGUGGAGCCUGUGGCUUAAUUUGACUCAACACGGGAAAACUUACCAGGUCCAGACAUAGUAAGGAUUGACAGAUUGAUAGCUCUUUCUUGAUUCUGUGGGUGGUGGUGCAUGGCCGUUCUUAGUUGGUGGAGUGAUUUGUCUGGUUAAUUCCGUUAACGAACGAGACCCCAGCCUGCUAAAUAGCGCGGCUGAGCUUUGCUCGGUGCGAGCUUCUUAGAGGGACUAUGAUGCGCGAUAGCACAUGGAAGUUUGGGGCAAUAACAGGUCUGUGAUGCCCUUAGAUGUUCUGGGCCGCACACGGGCUACACUGGCGCCUGCAACGAGCAUAUCAGCUGGCCCGAGAGGGUCUUGGCUAAUCUUUUGAACCGGCGCCGUGCUUGGGAUUGACCAUUGCAAUUGUUGGUCAUGCAACGAGGAAUGCUUUGUAAACGCGAGUCAUCAGCUCGCAUUGAAUACGUCCCUGCUCCUUGUACACACCGCCC
RNAcentral lists this ribosomal RNA (1081 nucleotides) under uncultured Rhizaria. RNAcentral's name for it is "SSU rRNA". It matches the Rfam family "Eukaryotic small subunit ribosomal RNA", at positions 577 to 1674 of the family's 1831-position model. The record is from RNAcentral.